UACGUAGGGAGCAAGCGUUGUCCGGAAUCAUUGGGCGUAAAGCGCGCGUAGGUGGCUUCGUAAGUCCGUUGUGAAAGUCAAAGGCUCAACCUUUGAAAGCCGAUGGAUACUGCGGAGCUAGAGUACGGAAGAGGCGAGUGGAAUCCUGGUGGUAGCGGUGAAAUGCGCAGAUAUCAAGGAAGAACACCCGUGGCGAAGGCGGCGCUCUGGGACGGUACUCGACGGCUGAGACGCGAAAGCGUGGGGAGCGAACA
This 254-nucleotide ribosomal RNA is filed under the name uncultured bacterium. Its description in RNAcentral is "partial 16S ribosomal RNA". It matches the Rfam family "Bacterial small subunit ribosomal RNA", at positions 524 to 774 of the family's 1533-position model. The record is from RNAcentral.